RNAcentral lists this ribosomal RNA (1137 nucleotides) under uncultured bacterium. RNAcentral's name for it is "bacterial SSU rRNA". It matches the Rfam family "Bacterial small subunit ribosomal RNA", at positions 99 to 1241 of the family's 1533-position model. The record is from RNAcentral.
CGAAUGGGUGCGUAACACGUGGGAAUUUACCCGGAAGUGGGGGAUAGCUCGUCGAAAGGCGAAUUAAUACCGCAUGUGCCCGUGAGGGCAAAGUGGGGGACCGCAAGGCCUCACGCUACCGGAGGAGCCCGCGUCCUAUCAGCUAGUUGGCGGGGUAACGGCCCACCAAGGCUAAGACGGGUAGCUGGUCUGAGAGGACGACCAGCCACACUGGAACUGAGACACGGUCCAGACACCUACGGGUGGCAGCAGUCGAGGAUUUUUCUCAAUGGGGGCAACCCUGAAGGAGCGACGCCGCGUGGAGGAUGAAGGGCUUCGGCUUGUAAACUCCUGUCACCGACGAACAAGGCAUCCGGUUGAACAUUCCGGAUGAUUGAUGGUAGUCGGAGAGGAAGGGGCGGUAACUCUGUGCCAGCAGCCGCGGUGAUACAGAGGCCCCGAGCGUUGUUCGGAUUUACUGGGCGUAAAGGGUGUGUAGGGGGUCGGGUAGUUUGACGUGAAAGCCCGCUGCUUAACAGCGGAACGGCGUCGAAUACUGCCCGGCUGGAGGUUCGGAGAUGAGAGCGGAAUUCUCGGUGUAGCGGUGAAAUGCGUAGAUAUCGAGAGGAACGCCGACGGCGAAAGCAGCUCUCAAGACGGCACUGACCCUGAGACACGAAGGCCAGGAGCAAACGGGAUUAGAUACCCCGGUAGUCCUGGCAGUAAACGGUGCUCAUUAGACGUGGGCGGAUUCGACCCCGCCCGUGUCGAACCUAACGGAUUAAAUGAGCCGCCUGGGAAGUACGGUCGCAAGAUUAAAACUCAAAGAAAUUGACGGGGGCCCGCACAAGCGGUGGAGUAUGUGGCUUAAUUCGAUGCAACGCGAAGAACCUUACCUGGCCUUGACAUGCUGAGUUCAGGCGUGGAAACACGCUGGCCCGCAAGGGCGAUCUGCACAGGUGCUGCAUGGCUGUCGUCAGCUCAUGUCGUGAGAUGUUGGGUUAAGUCCCGCAACGAGCGCAACCUCGUGACUAGUUAAUCCCGGGCAACCGGAUUCUGGUCAGACUGCCCUGUGAAACGGGGAGGAAGGUGGGGACGACGUCAAGUCCGUAUGGCCCUUACGGCCAGGGCUGCACACGUACUACAAUGCUCACUACA